AAGUUGUUGCAGUUAAAAAGCUCGUAGUCGGAUGUCGGGCUCGGGCAGGCUGUCGGCUUCGGUCGGACGGCAGGCUCGGGUCUUUCUGCCUGAGGAUCCCGUGCACUUUAUUGUGGGCGGGGGACGCAGGUCGUUUACUUUGAAAAAAUUAGAGUGUUCAAAGCAGGCCUACGCUUGAAUACAUUAGCAUGGAAUAAUGGAAUAGGACUUUGGUGCUAUUUUGUUGGUUUAUGGGACCGAAGUAAUGAUUAACAGGGACAGUUGGGGCCGUUUAUAUUUCGUUGUCAGAGGUGAAAUUCUUGGAUUUACGAAAGAUAAACUUCUGCGAAAGCAUUCGGCAAGGAUGUUUUCAUUGAUCAAGAACGAAAGUUAGGGGAUCGAAGACGAUCAGAUACCGUCGUAGUCUUAACCAUAAACUAUGCCGACUAGGGAUCAGUGGAUGUCAAUUUGCGACUCCAUUGGCACCUUGUGAGAAAUCAAAGUUUUUGGGUUCCGGGGGGAGUAUGGUCGCAAGGCUGAAACUUAAAGGAAUUGACGGAAGGGCA
Molecule: ribosomal RNA, 545 nt
Filed under: uncultured Cryptophyta
Lineage: Eukaryota; Cryptophyceae
Description: SSU rRNA
Rfam family: Eukaryotic small subunit ribosomal RNA
Source: RNAcentral